Amphiprion ocellaris (clown anemonefish) is the source of this 514-nucleotide long non-coding RNA. The record is from Ensembl. NCBI's taxonomy places the organism in Eukaryota, Metazoa, Chordata, Actinopteri, Pomacentridae.
AGCUGAAUUAGUGAGGAUGACUCCUGCUCCUGUCAUCUCUAAGCUCCUCACACAUCUUUACCUGCACAUGAGGAAAAUCACUCCUGUAGAAUGCAGAUGUUCAGAGGGAGAUGAUGCCACAUCUGGUCCAGCCGAUGGAAGGUCUUGAAGUUCUCUGACUGGCCUCGACUGAAGAUGGUCGUCUCACUGGAUUUAAGAUGCACAAUGAGGGACGUCUGCAGAGACUGAGAAAGAGUCUCACCACAUCCUGACAUGAGGAAAAAGACUUGAUUGAAGACUACAAUGAGAAAAACUAUCAGACAGCAGACGGCUGCAUUCAAGGCUACAAGAGGAGCCCUACGAGGACGAGCCGGUCCACCUGAUGGCGGCCAGUCGCUGCGGUUCAAAGCCAACACCGACUACGUGGACUUCUACUGGACCACACGGAGGCCUUCAAACCGGACCAACAAGUUCAGCGACUCCCCGACUCGUUGGUCUGAGGACGCCGCCGAGCCUCGGUCCAGCCGGCCUCCUG